UACCAAGCUGGAGUACGGUAGGGGCAGAGGGAAUUUCCGGUGGAGCGGUGUAAUGCGUUGAGAUCGGAAAGAACACCAACGGCGAAAGCACUCUGCUGGGCCGACACUGACACUGAGAGACGAAAGCUAGGGGAGCAAAUGGGAUUAGAUACCCCAGUAGUCCUAGCCGUAAACGAUGGAUACUAAGUGCUGUGCGUAUCGACCCGCGCAGUGCUGUAGCUAACGCGUUAAGUAUCCCGCCUGGGGAGUACGUUCGCAAGAAUGAAACUCAAAGGAAUUGACGGGGGCCCGC
This 292-nucleotide ribosomal RNA is filed under the name Acinetobacter baumannii. Its description in RNAcentral is "partial 16S ribosomal RNA". It matches the Rfam family "Bacterial small subunit ribosomal RNA", at positions 634 to 924 of the family's 1533-position model. The record is from RNAcentral. Lineage: Bacteria; Pseudomonadati; Pseudomonadota; Gammaproteobacteria; Moraxellales; Moraxellaceae.